CUUGUUUCCACUAUAGAAAUCAGCACCUACCCUGAUGGAAUAGUAUGUGUUGGAGGAGAUGGCAUUGUGAAUGAGGUACUUAAUGGUCUUCUGAGCAGAGAUAACCAGAAGGAAGCACUUUCUAUUCCAAUUGGCAUCAUUCCUGCUGGUUCAGACAAUUCACUAGUCUGGACUAUUUUGGGGGUCAGGGAUCCUAUUUCUGCUGCAAU
Long non-coding RNA from Zingiber officinale, 209 nucleotides. RefSeq lists it as uncharacterized. The transcript has 3 exons. The record is from RefSeq and is a predicted model, not a curated record. NCBI's taxonomy places the organism in Eukaryota, Viridiplantae, Streptophyta, Magnoliopsida, Zingiberales, Zingiberaceae.